GGUUCUGACACCGAGGGCUCCGGGGCAGGGGCAGGGCCCGCUGGCUUGGCGUGCGCAUGUGUGCACAGGUGUGUGGGUGUCUGCCUGGUGGGCAGGUGGCGUGUGCGCGUGUGUGUGUGUGAACUGGAGAUGUGAUCGAGGGCAUGGGUCCUGGGCUUCCCCCUCAUGGGUAAAACCAGAGCUGCCGUAUGCCAGCCGCAGAGGCAUGGACGGCUCCUGAGCUCGGACAGCAGAGGGACAGACCAUCGACGCGUUGGCACCGUGGCCAGAGUCUGUUCAAGAAAGGUCGGCAGGGAGGGCUGAGAACUCGGCAGACACACCUUCCAAGGGCCCUGCUGGAACCCCUGGAGCAGGAGGAAGCGGUGAUUCUCCAGGCCUUGGCCACAGGGACAGGCCAGGCCUCACAGCCAAGAGCCCUGGGAAAAGCUGCAUGCACAUGGCUGGAGAGAGGCUCUGCACCCGAGCACAGCCUGCUGCGACUCCUCAUAGACUCGGAAAAUUGAUUCGAAGGCAGAGGGCCUUCUCCCUCCCUGCGUGGUUUGGGGGCUGUUCCUGAUAGCACAGAUGCCCUGGUCACAAAUACCUGCCUGCAUUGCUGACCACAGGCCUGGCCUGGAGAAACCCACACCCUCUUCAGGGAAGUGACCAAGGGGCUUGGCAGUGCCUGAAGCCAGUGGGCUGGGGACUCACAGCCGGGACACUCAGCGCGGGCCGUGCGUCGUUUCUCCUGGAAUAACUGGAGGUGAUUUAAUGGAACCUGGAGGCUGAGCUUCAGGCUGGCAGGAGCGGCUCCAGACUGGGCCUUCUCCGUGGCUCUGCUCCCCGCUGUCCUUGCUUGAGUGGUGGGGGCCCUGCGUCCUGUCAUACCCACCCCCACCUUUCUCGCCAAAUUGUCGGAGGCUUUUGUCACCUGGAGACGCUGUUCCUGCCAGCUCCGGUCUUGGAAAACAUGGCCCCUGCUGCCAGCUGGACGUGGGCAUUUCUGCACCCAGUGGAACCCCGCAGCCAGGAAAGACGCCUGGAAGGCUAGAGGAGAGGCGUGAUGGGGGGACCCCACGUGUGGCAACAGAGCAGCACACCCAGCUCUUCUCAGCUACCAUGUGGGAGAGAAAUGAUGCCUCCGUCGAGCUCCCCAUAGCCGGAGCUGCUCUGUACAGCAUCCUAACCUUCACCCCAACUACUCAGUUGCCAUGGCAAAGGGAAUAUUUCGACUCCCUUUUUUUUAAUUUCCAGGUGAUUAUUGCUAGAGGAGUGGGAAGUUACUAAUUUUUGUAUAUUUAUCUUGUAUUAAAUUUUUUUACUGAUUUUUAAUUUUAAUUUUAAGAUUUUUUGAGAUGGAGUUUCACUCUUCUGGCCUAGGCUGGAGUGCAGUGGUGUGAUUUCGGCUCGCUGCAACCUCCGCCCAUGGGUUCAAGCGAUUCUUGUGCCUCAUACCCCCAAGUAGCUGGGAUUAUAGGCAUGCACCACCAUGCCCGGCUAAUUUUGUUUUUAGUAGAGACAGGAUUUCACUAUGUUGGUCAGGCUGGUCUCAAACUCCUGACCUCAGGUGAUCCGUCCACCUUGGCCUCCUAAAGUGCUGGGAUUACAGGCGUGAGCCACCGCACCUGGCCUGAUUUUUAAUUUUUAAAUGAGGGGGCAGAGGCAUAACUAGGUUUACAAUCAUGUCAUCAACAAAAUAAAUUGUCUUAUUUUUCUGAUG
Molecule: small RNA, 1699 nt
Filed under: Pongo abelii (Sumatran orangutan)
Lineage: Eukaryota; Metazoa; Chordata; Mammalia; Primates; Hominidae
Description: processed transcript
Source: RNAcentral